UGGAAAAAUGGUGUACUUACGUCUUUCCACGAUUGAAACAACAUGCCUUCUAAUGUUUAUUUAUGUUUAUUUAGUGUUGUAACUAGUAGGAAGAGAUUAUCGGUUCACGUGCCGCUUGAACUGAGGCGCUACAGCGAUCUGUCUCGACACAUUAAAGAGCCACAAAACGCGCGUCAAAUUAGCACACAGUGGAUUCGUGUUACAAAAGACUCGGCCAGCAAAAAAACUUGGAGACAACCUGAUGGGGCUUUUUGUGGCUGUGGGGGCAGGACACUUCAGAUUCUAGACAGCAUUUGAUUGGACAGAAGAUCUGAUGAGAAGCUGAAGUCCGCGGUGAUGUCAUGAAAAUCCAUGAUCCAUUUUAGCGGAAGUGAGAGACGGUAAGUUUUCAAUGCUUAUAUCUCCUAAAUGCGAAUUUUGUCAUUGUUUUGGAACACACCAGCUUAUUCAUAACCUUAAGACUAACAUAUUCAUACUGAAAGCUAAACAACUUCAGUUUUGAUUUCAGGGGGACUUUAAGAAGUAUGAUAUACAGAAUAAGUCAAACAUACAGUUACUUGUGUGUGUGUAUUACAUUUCAAAACAAACAUUACAUUACAUACAAGAAGUUACAUUUCAAGGCUUUGGUCAUUUUUGACCGUGAAGGAGCCUAGUGUGACCACUAAAUGAAGAGGAUGACUCUUUAUUGAACUUGGAUUGUGUGUGUUAGUCUACUCUACGCGUUACAGAUAUUGAAUCAUAUUGAAAAAAAAAAAAA
Molecule: long non-coding RNA, 757 nt
Organism: Ctenopharyngodon idella (grass carp)
Lineage: Eukaryota; Metazoa; Chordata; Actinopteri; Cypriniformes; Xenocyprididae
Exons: 3
Source: RefSeq, a predicted model, not a curated record